UUUUUUUUUUUUUUUUUGGGGUUUAAUUUCAAGUCAUAAAUUGUAGAUCGGUAUGGCUAGGCAUGGAUGGUUGCCGGAUUUGAGGGUGGGGUGAUAAUGGGUAAAAAAGGACGGCGACUUGGGCAGAAAUUUUGGGGCAAACGACGAGUUGGUGGAGAUGGUGGACAUGGCUGAAACAUGUUAUUUGUGUGAAGAUAAUGACGCUAUUUCCCUUCAAAAGCUCUCUACCUCUAUUUUUUCAUGGGAUCCUUCUUACUCCACCUUAUUGCUUCAUUUCAUUUCGUUGAAGUUGACUUUCAAUCAAAGGAAAUGGUUUGAGUAUAUUUUCAGCUACCGUUAGAAACAGAAGUUUAGAGAGUUAUUUGGUUUAUUCAUUUAGAAUGUGAAAAUUGUAUAGAGGCAUGGAAGGAUGGUGACGCGUUGAUGAAUCUUUUAAAGCUUAAUUAUGCACUACCACUACCUCAUUAUGAAAAGUUUAUGGACGAAAUGAUGUUCCUUGUCAACAAAGCUUGAAUGAUGUAUGAAAAGCUCCAACGACUUCCAAAUGCUCAAGUCAGCAAGAAAGCAGGGCCGUUGAUUUUCAGCUUUCAGGCCAUAGAAAUGAAGUUCCCAACAAGCUCACCAUUUUCCUUGGAGAACACUGGCUACCAGAACUAUUUUGAAGCUUUAAUUGAAAAGCAAGCAAACUUUGCUAAAAAAGAGGCUGAAGCUUUGGCUAUGGUGGAGUCUUUAUAUCUGCCGAGCUUCAGAGGUUUCUACACCCAGGUAAACAUUAUGGAUCACUUAGUUUAGUGGUACUUGGAGAUAUGAGAAGCAAAGGAGCUUUCAACCAAUUCCAAGUUGCUUUACAGGAGCUAAUUUCUACAACAAUGGAUUAAUCAGUACCUGAACAUGACAGCUUUUGGAGUCAUUUACCAAAAUCAAAAUAGCAAAGAGCUUGCAAAAGCAGUGGUACAGUGGCAAGUUCUGACGGAAGGAAACAAAGAUGCUGGCAAGUUUGGAUCAACAUUCUUUUCUAUUCUUAAUUCGAUAUGCCUUCACCAAGAACAUGUUAGCAGUUUUGGCCGUUUAUUUUGAAUGAAACAUAUCUAUGGGGUAUGAAGUCAUGCAAGCACUGAACCAGCAGGAAACAAAGAUACUGACAGGUUCAUAUCAACCGUUCUUUUCUCUUCUUAAUCCUGUAUGCCUUCACCAAGAACAUGUUAGCAGUUUUGGCCAUUUAUUUUGAAUGAAAUAAGUCUAUGAUAACUUGAUUAUGCCUUCAUUAUCACUAUGCCAUGCUAAUUAGGAUUUCUAAUCUUUUUUUCUCCCCCUCUAUAAAUAUUUUGGCAUAUAUAAGAUUGACACCUAAUUCAAAGUUGAUUCUUGCAGGCCCCUCUGCUAGAUUUUUCUAUUUGUGCAUCGCCAUUGUUUGUCUAUGUAUAUAUAUAAGGUUGUCUAUGAACCGACCUUUAAUGUGAAGUUUCCAUCGUUUUUUGACAUAAAUUAUUUGCAAGGUUGUGCCAAACAAAGUAUGCUAGAAAUUUCUUAAUACUUUAUUUUUUGUUGAAAUAAAAAUUUCUUACUACUUCUCA
This is an RNA transcript of Ziziphus jujuba (common jujube), 1574 nucleotides long. RefSeq lists it as uncharacterized. The transcript has 7 exons. NCBI's taxonomy places the organism in Eukaryota, Viridiplantae, Streptophyta, Magnoliopsida, Rosales, Rhamnaceae. The record is from RefSeq and is a predicted model, not a curated record.